RNAcentral lists this long non-coding RNA (922 nucleotides) under Drosophila melanogaster (fruit fly). RNAcentral's name for it is "long non-coding RNA:CR44602 (Dmel_CR44602)". The record is from RNAcentral. Lineage: Eukaryota; Metazoa; Arthropoda; Insecta; Diptera; Drosophilidae.
UAUUUCUGGUCAAAAUAUUAAAAAAAAAAGCUGGUCGAAGAGAAAAAGAAAGCUACCGUGAGGCGGCAACUCAAGCUCAUUAAUUUAACUUACCCAAAAAGGAAACCAAGUGGGGAUGGGAAAUUCAGGCCAAACAAUACCGAGAUAGAGGGACCGGAAAACAGGAUGUGCGGCCAGGUACGAGGAGGCAACCAGAAAAAAAAACCACCAAGAAAAAGUAGCACGGAAGCGGAUUUUCAUUCAAGUUGCCAGCCAGGAGGAGGAAAGGAGGACGCUUUCUCCAUCUCGGCCCACAAUUUCUCCUUGGUAAUGAUUCAGCAUUAAAUUUCGGGUGACUGAAGAAAGGCAAGAAACAACAAAAUCAGCAGCGACAGCAACAGCAACAAAGAAAAUCAGUAAAAUGAAACGAUGUCGACGUCAAAGCAAAUGAAACUGAAGAUGAGACCAGAGCAAAAUUUCGGACGAACAUCAUUAGAAAGUUACUGGAAUUCGGUUGUAGCCGGAUGGUUGGGGUUUGGUGCUGGUGUUUGGCUAUAUCCAUCCGACCUUGCUAAUUGUAUGACAACGGGGGGUGGGAUUCGCCCACCUGGCCAUUGAAAUCAUUGCUCCGUUCAAGUAGCUGAGCGCACAAAACUAAGCUGCCAAUUCAAUUUCGUAAUCAGAGUGGCAUGAAAAAUUAAAUAAAACAUGCAAAUAAAAUUAUUACGCAUAAUUUGUGUGCACAGGGUGAGAUGAAGGGCUCCCGUUAGGCAAUACCAUUUUCCCGCGAGUUUUUCCGGUGCGGAGUGCCUGAUUUUAUUUCUGCUGGGAUUUUGGGUGACUGAUUCCCUUUGCAACUCAAUUUAUUUUUCUGCUUGACAAUUUAUCUUCAAAUUUAGCUCAAGAACUUUAUAUUCAUACAUUAUUAGUCUAUCCCAUUUUU